Molecule: ribosomal RNA, 254 nt
Filed under: uncultured bacterium
Lineage: Bacteria
Description: partial 16S ribosomal RNA
Rfam family: Bacterial small subunit ribosomal RNA
Source: RNAcentral
CUUUCUUUGCUGGCGACCGGCGCACGGGUGAGUAACACGUAUCCAACCUGCCCUUUACUCGGGGAUAGCCUUUCGAAAGAAAGAUUAAUACCCGAUAGCAUAAUGAUUUCGCAUGGUUUCAUUAUUAAAGGAUUCCGGUAAAGGAUGGGGAUGCGUUCCAUUAGGUUGUUGGUGAGGUAACGGCUCACCAAGCCUUCGAUGGAUAGGGGUUCUGAGAGGAAGGUCCCCCACAUUGGAACUGAGACACGGUCCAA